UCCGUAGGUGAACCUGCGGAAGGAUCAUUAACGAGUUUGGGUCUUCCAGGCCCGACCUCCCAACCCUAUGUUUAUUGAACCUCUGUUGCUUCGGCAGGCCCGUCUCACGGCCGCCGGAGGACCGCUGAAAGGCGUCCUCUGGCCCGCGUCCGCCGAUGGCCAACCACUCAAACUCUGAAUGAAUCGUGUCAUAUGUCUGAGUCUAUGAUUAAAUUAAAGCAAAACUUUCAACAACGGAUCUCUUGGUUCUGGCAUCGAUGAAGAACGCAGCGAAAUGCGAUAAGUAAUGCGAAUUGCAGAAUUCCAGUGAGUCAUCGAAUCUUUGAACGCACAUUGCGCCCUUUGGUAUUCCGAAGGGCAUGCCUGUUCGAGCGUCAUUAUCACCCCUCAAGCCCCGCGCUUGGUGUUGGACGGCCGGUCGAGCGAUCGACCCCUCCUAAAGACAAUGACGGCGGCCUGCGGUUCCCCCGGUACACUGAGCUUUUAACUGAGCACGUACCGGACCAGGGCACCCGGGACCCGGUCCCCUCCUUUAACUAGGAAACAUCUAAGGUUGACCUCGGAUCAGGUAGGAAAACGCGCUGAACUUAAGCAUAC
This 597-nucleotide ribosomal RNA is filed under the name uncultured Cladophialophora. RNAcentral's name for it is "eukaryotic LSU rRNA". The stretch from base 223 to 377 matches the Rfam family "5.8S ribosomal RNA". Lineage: Eukaryota; Fungi; Ascomycota; Eurotiomycetes; Chaetothyriales; Herpotrichiellaceae. The record is from RNAcentral.